CGAUGCAUAGACACACAAGCACUCAUAUUUUGCUCCUCCGUGGUGCGUCGUCGCCUCUUCGCUAGGUGCCCAUCUCAGACGUCACUCUCGACGACGCCCUAACCCUCGUCCGACUGACCCGAGACGUCGUCUAGUGGCGGCGGCGGAGGCAUUGGUCGUCCUGCGGGUGCAACCACGCAUACGCGGACACCCUGCACGCCCGCAUUGACAUCGUUGAAUAAAGAGAUACACGUCAGCCCUCAUCGGCCCGGCAUUCGGAUCUCCCUGCCCCUUCAGUCGUUACCACUGCUCGCACGUCUUGGUGUGCGUGCGUCUCCCACAAAAGGAAGGGUACGAACCACUGGGGAAAGACCACCAUGGCGAUUGUCGUGGUGCUGAUUGGGCAGUGCGGCAAUCAGCUCGGUGACGAGCUCUUCACGCAGCUGGCGCUGUGCACCUCCUCCAGCGCAUCAUCCGAAGCAGCCAAGUCGCCGUCGCGUGUUGCGGAUCCUUCUCCCUUCUUCGCGCUCGAUGGCAAGGCGCGCUGCAUCCUCGUCGACACGGAGCCGAAGGUCGUGCUUGGGGUGCAGCAGCGGCACCCCGACUUUAUUCGUGCGGAGAACGUGAUUCAUGGCCAGUCCGGCCGCGGCAACAACUGGGGUCUCGGCUACUACGGUGUCAAGACGGAGCAGAGCAAGCGCACGGAGCGCAACGCAGCCGUGCAGCGGGCUUUCCGAAAUAUCGCACGUGAUCAGCGCGAAGAGGAUGACAAUGUGCUGAGAAAGGCGUUGCAGGCAAUUCACCGCGAGACGCGCCGCACAAGCGACGCCGAGGAUGGCAGCGGCGGCUUCGAGUCCAUUCUCGUUCUUCACAGCCUCGUUGGCGGGACGGGGAGCGGGCUCGCAUCAAGGCUGACAGCGCGGCUGCGGCUCUAUUUCACAGAACCGCCGCCGGGCCAGCAGGUAGAUGAGGUGUAUGAGUCCAAGAUGAUGCACUACGACGGCUUUGACAGCUGCGUGCAGGGAACGCAGCGGCGAGCGCGACACCUAGUAAACAUCACCGUCGCCCCUCAGGCGCUAGGUGAGGUAGCGACGCAGGGGCUGAACGCCGCCUUGACGCUUCAGGUGCUGCAGCGGCACGCGGAUGCGAUCCUACUCCUGCGUAACGACGACGCGAUGGCACCUGGAGAGCCGAGCGGGAGCAGCGCGUGUUCGAGCGCGUCACUGCUAACACGGUGCGUCACCUUCAAGGAGGCGAAUGAGAUCCUCGUAGCGCUGCUGCUACCGGUGCUGGGCUAUGGCCGGCAACCCGGCUGUAUCACAAAUCUUCUGAUCCAAUGCAUCCCUCCGACGUACAAGCAAACCACAGGCGGCAACAAGAUACUCACGCUUCUUGCUGCGCCACAGCGCAGCUACGCCACCAUGCGGCAGUGCGUUCAUCGAGCGAUGUUCUUCAUCAUCAAAGGCGGCAGGACCUUUAUGCCCGGCUAUGUGCCGACGGUCCCCAUGGACGAGAUGCUGAGUCGCACCGCUCUCCGCAUUCAUGGAGUCGGAAGCGAUCAUGUUCGGCGUGGUAGCGACAGACCUAGCACGAGAGAGGCGCGCGGGAACGGGGAUGAUGGGGUCGCGCAGCAUCGUCUCUUUGAUUACAACACAAAGAAACUCGGCAGCCGUCGUCUGGGGUCUGACAACGGCGGUGAGGCUCGUGCAGGUACCGCCGCCACAGCAGCGUCCAGCCUUGCGUCACGGCGGCGUCAGCGAUCCACGCUACUCUCGGUCCCCUCUCCUCCAUCGCCACCAAGCGCACGAAUGCGAGGCGGCGAAGGGCGGUUCGGGAGUUGCGAGGAUGACGAGAGCGGCAGCGCCACCUGGAAUUGCGAAGACCUUGAAGAGCUCAACCAGCGCGUGUACCUCGAGUGCGUCACAACGAUUUCACCAGCGCUGUACCUGCACUAUCUACAACUGCGUCGUGCACCGGUAACGAAGAUGUUCGAGGCGCUUGAUGGAGUACUGGUGCUGAACCAGGCCGUUGAGCUGAAUAGGCGCGUGCUGCUCCCGCUUCUCCGGUCGGCUGCACUGAAGGUGUCGUGUGGAGCCUUCAUGUCCGCCUACGAGGACGUCGGCGUGAAGUCGGAACACGUGCGGCGGGCGUACCGCGAAGUCGCCGAGGUGCUGGCAGCAGCGGAGGAGCUCUAACGGCUCACUCAGCCGCAGCUGCGCAGCAAGAACGCCGAUGUCUUUGCCCUCCAGGUGUGCGUGUGUGUGUGUGUGUGUGUGCUGUAAGUGAUGCUCAGUGUGAGGUGCACGCAGGUCUCUCUUUUUCAUCCCCCGCCCCUGCUGCUUCCGUUAGUGGCGCUGGCGCCUUUGGCAGUGCCUUCCCUCUGUUUUGUUUGGGGUGGAGUGAUGAAAGGGGGAAGGGAAUGAGAUGGGCUGUGCUCGGCAGAUGCUGUGUUGGCCCGCAGCUUGUCCCGCAUGCGCUCUCCGCUUCCCUUCACGUUGGCGGUCUUUGGAAGGUCCGCUCUCGCCACCGCCUUUCUGGCGCGUUCCGUAUCGCUUGCGCCUUACAGGUAUCGCACACGCAGCGACUCACGCACAUACCUCGGCGACCGCAUCGAGCCCUUUUUGAUGUUCUCUGGAUGAGCGCGAGUUCACGUUUCAACUUUGCCCCUCCGCCCCGCGCACGCCAUAGAAUGCGGUGAUGGUUGGUGCCCCGCAUGCCUUUACGCGAGCCGCAGCUCUUCUGCUGUGCUGCCCACACCUGCCCGACUUUCCGUUGCGCCCCCUACUUCCCUCCUCCCGACCUCUCGCAUCCUGCGCCGCGUAAG
This 2803-nucleotide unclassified non-coding RNA is filed under the name Leishmania donovani. Its description in RNAcentral is "gene:LdHU3.20.0640(CDS-product:zeta_tubulin_putat ive)". The record is from RNAcentral. Lineage: Eukaryota; Euglenozoa; Kinetoplastea; Trypanosomatida; Trypanosomatidae.